GAUGAAGAACGCAGUGAAAUGCGAUAAGUAAUGUGAAUUGCAGAAUUCAGUGAAUCAUCGAAUCUUUGAACGCACCUUGCACCCUUUGGCAUUCUGAAGGGUAUGCUCGUUUGAGUGUCAUUGUACUCUCACACUCCCGAUCUUUGCAUUGGGAGCAGUGGACUUGGGUUUGCUGCUUCACCGUCGCUUACCUCAAAUAGGUUAGUGCAACUCUUGGUUGGACAUAGUACGGCGUGAUAAGUGUUCUUCGCCGGUGCCUCGCAAAGAGGGUGGCCGAUCGGGAUGUUGUGCUCCAAACCGUCUUCGGACAAUCUCCGACGACUUGACCUCAAAUCGAGUAAGACUACCCGCUGAACUUAAGCAUAUCAAUAAGCGGAGGA
RNAcentral lists this unclassified non-coding RNA (380 nucleotides) under soil metagenome. RNAcentral's name for it is "partial contains 5.8S ribosomal RNA, internal transcribed spacer 2, and large subunit ribosomal RNA". The stretch from base 1 to 120 matches the Rfam family "5.8S ribosomal RNA", at positions 35 to 154 of the family's 154-position model. The record is from RNAcentral.